This 253-nucleotide ribosomal RNA is filed under the name uncultured bacterium. RNAcentral's name for it is "partial 16S ribosomal RNA". It matches the Rfam family "Bacterial small subunit ribosomal RNA", at positions 524 to 776 of the family's 1533-position model. The record is from RNAcentral.
UACGUAGGGGGCAAGCGUUAUCCGGAUUUACUGGGUGUAAAGGGAGCGUAGACGGCAUGGCAAGUCAGAUGUGAAAGCCCGGGGCUCAACCCCGGGACUGCAUUUGAAACUGUCAGGCUGGAGUGCAGGAGAGGUAUGCGGAAUUCCUAGUGUAGCGGUGAAAUGCGUAGAUAUUAGGAGGAACACCAGUGGCGAAGGCGGCUUACUGGACUGUAACUGACGUUGAGGCUCGAAAGCGUGGGGAGCAAACAGG